Molecule: ribosomal RNA, 456 nt
Filed under: uncultured bacterium
Lineage: Bacteria
Description: bacterial SSU rRNA
Rfam family: Bacterial small subunit ribosomal RNA
Source: RNAcentral
AUUGAACGCUGGCGGCGUGCUUAACACAUGCAAGUCGAUCGGUAACAGGUGUAGCAAUACAUGCUGACGAGAGGCGGACGGGUGAGUAAUGCUUGGGAAUCUGCCUAUUAGUGGGGGACAACCCGGGGAAACUCGGGCUAAUACCGCAUACGCUCUACGGAGGAAAGCCGGGACCGCAAGGCCUGGCGCUAAUAGAUGAGCCCAAGUCGGAUUAGCUAGUUGGUAGGGAACGGCCUACCAAGGCGACAAUCCGUAGCUGGUCUGAGAGGACGACCAGCCACACCGGAACUGAGACACGGUCCGGACUCCUACGGGAGGCAGCAGUGGGGAAUAUUGGACAAUGGGGCAACCCUGAUCCAGCGACGCCGCGUGGGUGAAGAAGGCCUGCGGGUUUGUAAAGCCCUUUCGGGUAGGGGAAGAAAAGUCUCGACCUAAUACGUCGGGACCUUGACGUAA